GUCAGCGGUGCAGAUGGCGGUGAUGGCAGCUGCUGCAGGAAUGCGGUUUGGCUCGGAGAGAGACGAGAGCGCAGAGGGGUGGCUGUGGAUCAGGUGGUUGAGCGGGUCGUCCACUAAUCGUAGGGUUGGCGGUUCGAUUCCCGGCCCAUGUGACUCCACAUACCGAAGUGUCCUUGGUUCAUGACUUCAUGGGAUUAACCAGGGAAGUGUGCUGUACAAACUCCAAGCUCCCGGGUCAUUAUUUAGGUAACAUGUGGGUAAGUACCAAGACAUUUUUAAAUCAAUUUCACCAAAAUACCAGACAGUAUUAAAUCGGUCACAUUAUUAUUUCAUUUUUUAUUAUUUUGGUUCAUUAUUUUGUUGGUAAGAAGAUGAUAAGUACAGGGGAGAGAGAGGGAGAGAAAGCGAGAAAUAGACAGUGAUAGAAAGAGUGAUGAGAGAGAGAGAGAGAGAGAGAGAGUGAGUGGGAAAAGAAAGAGAGCGAGAUGGGGUAGAGAAAAAGAGAGGUAGACUGCAGUAGAGGGAGCAACAGAAGAGAGAGAGGGAGAGAAAGCGAGAAAUAGACAGUGAUGGAGAGAGUAACAGAAGAGAGAGAGAGAGAGAGAGAGAGAGACACAGAGAGAGAGAGCUACACUGUCAGUCAAAAAUCUUUAAACAUUUCUCAUUAAAGCAGCAGUAUGUAAUGUGUAUUGUGUAGAAUCCUCUGGUGCCUGGAAAAUGAACAGCACUUACAAUAAAACAUGACAAACCUUCGCUUGCCCUAUCCGACCCAACCUCCCAGUCCGAACUACAUCCAGUAUUCUUCAUGAGUUACCUUAAAAAAAAAUAUAUAUAUAUAUAUAUUUUUUUUUUUAAAAAAGAGUGGGGCAAGUGGGCUUCAUUUCAGCUGGGGGCGGAGUUAAUUUCAGGGCCAGAAAAUUUUCAACAAAAACCUGUACUGUAUAUAAAUAAGUAGCACAGAUCCAAUUUCUAAGGAGUCUUUAAAACUACAUAAUUGUUACAGAUUGUUAUGUAAUAAAAACUUUACUCAAACAUUCAAAAUGGCAUCUUUAAGAUACAGAAUAAGAUACGAUAAGAAAAAAACGUGGGAUCGUGGAGCGUACUCAGGACCUCGAAGCUUGCAGCGAUUCGAGGUUUUAUUUAUCUACAGGUUUAACACACUGUCUUUCAUAAAGCAUCAGUUAGAAUCAGAGAGGAGCUUGUUAAUACUGUUAGUUAAUAAAGGGUUAGGUCUAUAGAGGAAAACCUUUAUUUAUUUCUUUUUCAUCUUUAACCAUCAUUUUGUUCUUUGUUCUUUGUCGUUAUUGUCUUUUGUGACGGGCACUGAUAGUGAUAAAACUAAGAGUCUUUGAUAUAGAUACAGAUCUGUUUCUGAGGUAAAACCGUUGAAGAAAACAGCGUUACAGCAGAUUUUAGUAGAAAAUGGAAACCCAGUCUAACAUUGUAAGUGAAAGAGACAGUGUGUAUCGUGGACGCUGUGUUUCUGCGGUUCUUCUUUCACGAUUUGUUUUUUUGAUACUUAAAAAUCCUUCCACUUCAUUCCAAGCAAAGCUACACGCUAAAAAUAGUUUCAGAGCGUUCCCUGGUUUUGUUUUUUUCUUUUUCCAUAAAUUUUUUAUUGAAUCAUAAGAUCCCUCGUAGGUUGGGACAUAUUUUCCGCUCGCUCUCAGCGGUCAGCGCUGAUCAGACGGAGAAGACUCAGAAAAGUCUGAUCUAUAAAAAGCCUUCCUUUAAAUCUAUAUAACGAUAUACAGACACAUGACAAAUUAAAGGAAAACUCUUUUACGCUAUAGGGGGAAAGAGACGUGACAUCGCAAAUCAAACCUAAAUCUCGUCUGUAUCUCAAACGUUUCCAUUCGGAUGGGUGUGGCCUCUUCCAGGCUGACUCCGCCCCCAUCCCAGGCUCACUGAAUGGUUUGAUGAGGAUGAAAAUGAUAUAAAUCACAUGUUACGACCUUCAGACUCCAGAUCUUAAUCCAGUUAAACACUUAGUGGAGAUUUUGGAACGACGUCUCAGACAGCGCUCGAGAUUCACCGCCAUCAAGACAUCAACUGAGGGAAAGUCUUUCGGAAGAAUGGUGUUCAUCAUCACUCCAGUACAGUUCCAGAGUCGAUGUCAUGGAUCAUUAAAGCUGUUCUGGUCAUGUCAUGAAUCAUUAAAGCUCCAAAUCCUUAUUUACGGGAUAAGGAUAAGAAGGAAAAUUGCUUAUUUCAUCCUAACCAAGAGGUGGUGAGUACUCUCUUGAGCUGUGAUCUUACGGAAAGACAUCCCAGAGAUAAAAAGCAGCACAAGUCCUAAACCAGUGAUGGAAACACAGAUUUGUGUGAGCAAGGCGUGACAUGCAUUUACAGAGUCCUCCACUAAUAUUGGCACCCUUAUAUGGUAAAUGUGAGCAAAGAAGCCAGUGGAAAAAAAAGUCUUUAUUGUUUAACAUUUUGAUCUUUUAGCACACCUGGGUGACUAGGAACAGGAAAUUGUUCAACCACGACUUCCUGUUUCACAGGGGUAACACAUUCAUGAGGUAACACAUAGGCCAAAUUCCCUUAAUCAUUCAUAACGAUGGGUAAGAGCGAGGAAUAUAGCUGUGAUGUGCGACAAAAGGUUGUUGAGCUUCACAAAAUGGGGCCUGGCUAUAAGAAAAUAGCACAAGCAUUGAAAAUGCCCAUUUCCACCAUCAGGGCAAUAAUUAAGAAGUUCCAGUCAACUGGAAAUGCCAUGACUCGACCUGGAAUUGGACGUGUGUCUAUAUCGUCUCAACGCACUGUGAAGAGGACGGUUCGAGUGGAUAAAACAUCUCCAAGGAUCACAGCUGGAGAACUGCAGAAGUUAGUUGUGUCUUGGGGUCAGAAAGUCUCCAAAACUACAAUCUGAAGUCACCUACAUCACCACAAGCUGUUUGGAAAGGUUUCAAGAAAAAAGCCUCUACUCUCAUCCAAAAACAAACUCGAGCGUCUUCAGUGUGCCAGACACUACUGGAACUUCAAAUGGGAUCGGGUUCUAUGGUCAGAUCAAACCAGAAUAGAGCUUUUUGGUAAUAAACAC
Molecule: long non-coding RNA, 3043 nt
Organism: Ictalurus furcatus (blue catfish)
Lineage: Eukaryota; Metazoa; Chordata; Actinopteri; Siluriformes; Ictaluridae
Exons: 3
Source: RefSeq, a predicted model, not a curated record